Molecule: unclassified non-coding RNA, 246 nt
Filed under: uncultured Apodus
Lineage: Eukaryota; Fungi; Ascomycota; Sordariomycetes; Sordariales; Lasiosphaeriaceae
Description: sequence contains ITS2
Source: RNAcentral
AACGCACAUUGCGCCCGCUAGUAUUCUGGCGGGCAUGCCUGUUCGAGCGUCAUUUCAACCAUCAAGCCCUAGGCUUGUGUUGGGGCCCUGCGGCCGUCCGCAGCCCCCUAAAAACAGUGGCGGGCUCGCUAUAUACCGAGUGCAGUAGUUUACUCUUCGCUCAGGACAUGUAGUGGGUUCUUGCCGUAAAACCCCCCAUUUUCUAAGGUUGACCUCGGAUCAGGUAGGAAUACCCGCUGAACUUAA